UACAGAGGUCUCAAGCGUUGUUCGGAUUCAUUGGGCGUAAAGGGUGCGCAGGCGGCGGGGCAAGUCGGACGUGAAAUCCCGGGGCUUAACCCCGGAACUGCGUUCGAUACUGCCUUGCUUGAGGACUGGAGAGGAGACUGGAAUUCCUGGUGUAGCAGUGAAAUGCGUAGAUAUCAGGAGGAACGCCAAUGGCGAAGGCAAGUCUCUGGACAGUUCCUGACGCUCAUGCACGAAGGCCAGGGGAGCAAACGGG
This 253-nucleotide ribosomal RNA is filed under the name uncultured bacterium. Its description in RNAcentral is "partial 16S ribosomal RNA". It matches the Rfam family "Bacterial small subunit ribosomal RNA", at positions 524 to 776 of the family's 1533-position model. The record is from RNAcentral.